UUUGCCUAGCAUAUCGAACGCUGCGAAUGAUUUAUAAUUGCCUUGACUUUGAUGCAUGAUUAUAUAAUUGGUUGAGCUAGAAUUUAAUUCUCUUUUCAAUUUUGUGUAACUCCAUCCAUGCAUCACAUCAUUUUGGUAUCAGAGCCUGG
Long non-coding RNA from Dendrobium catenatum, 149 nucleotides. RefSeq lists it as uncharacterized. NCBI's taxonomy places the organism in Eukaryota, Viridiplantae, Streptophyta, Magnoliopsida, Asparagales, Orchidaceae. The transcript has 3 exons. The record is from RefSeq and is a predicted model, not a curated record.